UAAGGCACGCGGUGAAUGCCAAU
Molecule: non-coding RNA, 23 nt
Filed under: Panagrellus redivivus
Lineage: Eukaryota; Metazoa; Nematoda; Chromadorea; Rhabditida; Panagrolaimidae
Also listed under: 2 other names
Gene: prd-miR-124-3p
Source: miRBase by way of RNAcentral